GACGAACCGUCCAAACGUUUAUUCGGAAUCACUGGGCUUACAGAGUUCGUAGGCGGUCUGGAAAGUUGGGUGUGAAAUCCCUCGGCUCAACCGAGGAACUGCGCUUGAAACUACCAGACUCGAGGGAGAUAGAGGAAAGCGGAACUGAUGGUGGAGCGGUGAAAUGCGUUGAUAUCAUCAGGAACACCGGGUGGCGAAGGCGCUUUCUGGGUCU
This 214-nucleotide ribosomal RNA is filed under the name uncultured bacterium. Its description in RNAcentral is "partial 16S ribosomal RNA". It matches the Rfam family "Bacterial small subunit ribosomal RNA", at positions 524 to 736 of the family's 1533-position model. The record is from RNAcentral.